AGUGAACGCUGGCGGUAGGCCUAACACAUGCAAGUCGAACGGCAGCACAGUAAGAGCUUGCUCUUACGGGUGGCGAGUGGCGGACGGGAGAGGAAUACAUCGGAAUCUACUUUUUCGGGGGGGAUAACGUAGGGAAACUUACGCUAAUACCGCAUACGACCUACGGGUGAAAGCAGGGGAUCUUCGGACCUUGCGCGAUUGAAUGAGCCGAUGUCGGAUUAGCUAGUUGGCGGGGUAAAGGCCCACCAAGGCGACGAUCCGUAGCUGGUCUGAGAGGAUGGUCAGCCACACUGGAACUGAGACACGGUCCAGACUCCUACGGGAGGCAGCAGUGGGGAAUAUUGGACAAUGGGCGCAAGCCUGAUCCAGCCAUACCGCGUGGGUGAAGAAGGCCUUCGGGUUGUAAAGCCCUUUUGUUGGGAAAGAAAAGCAGCAGGUUAAUACCCCGCUGUUCUGACGGUACCCAAAGAAUAAGCACCGGCUAACUUCGUG
This 492-nucleotide ribosomal RNA is filed under the name uncultured bacterium. RNAcentral describes it as "partial 16S ribosomal RNA". It matches the Rfam family "Bacterial small subunit ribosomal RNA", at positions 29 to 507 of the family's 1533-position model. The record is from RNAcentral.